RNAcentral lists this long non-coding RNA (699 nucleotides) under Ananas comosus (pineapple). RNAcentral's name for it is "long non-coding RNA (ACOM_LNC024582)". The record is from RNAcentral. Lineage: Eukaryota; Viridiplantae; Streptophyta; Magnoliopsida; Poales; Bromeliaceae.
CAACGACGAUCACGACGACUUCUACGACAACAAGAGAUGUGCAUGCAUACGAAUAGCGUAAGUACGAUUUUCUUGUCGGUUUGAUCAACCCGACCAUCUUCGUGAUAGGUUUCGAACCGAUCAAAUUUGACAUCAAAUCGUCACUUUCGCCAUGUGUAUGCAUCGCUAAUCUCUAAAUCGUGCGGCCAUCUUCGCGAUAGGCUCGACAUGGUCGAAAUUGUUGAUCGAGCACCGAAUAUUUUGCUACGUAAACCGUGCGGCCAUCUUCGCGAUAGGCUCGACAUGGUCAAAAUGGUUGAUCGAGCGGCCAUCUUCGUGAUAGGCUCAAUACGAUCAAGCCUGUUUAUUUUACUACAUAAACCGUGCGGUCAUCUUCGCGAUAGGCUCGACAUGGUCAAAAUGGUUGAUCGAGUGGCCAUCUUCGUGAUAGGCUCGACACGAUUAAACCCGGCGUACUUGAACAAAACGUGGUAAAAAUAAUAAUAAUAAUAAUGAAAAUAAAAAAAUGGAUGGGUACUGUUUUGAUUCGCCAUCUUAGUGAUAGGCAUUUCUCGAACCAUAUGCCAUCUUCGUUCGAUUCGAUUGUAUUGCUAUUUUCGUGAUAAGCAUCACCAUCUUCAUGAUAGGCUCGACGUGAUAAAAAAAAAGGACGAAAUUUCGUAUAUUUGGAAAAAAAAUGAAUAAACAAACAAAAAAAAA